Rhododendron vialii is the source of this 1474-nucleotide long non-coding RNA. RefSeq lists it as uncharacterized. NCBI's taxonomy places the organism in Eukaryota, Viridiplantae, Streptophyta, Magnoliopsida, Ericales, Ericaceae. The transcript is spliced from 4 exons. The record is from RefSeq and is a predicted model, not a curated record.
UAAAAUAAAUGUUUUUUUCCUCAUGUAGUUUUAUUGGUUUAAUUCUUAUAUUUUAGGCAGCAAAGGUAAAACACAUAUCAAUGCCUUCGUUAUUCUAACAUUUGUGCUCCUUGCCUCGAAUCUCAUUCUUCAAGUCGCUUAGAAGAUUGAUAUUCUUACUUAUUUAUUGUCACCCCCAUCAACGUUACAUCCCAAGCAUUCGCAAAGUCAUAGAAUUUGGCUCUUUGGUUGCCGUGGAACCCCGAGUAAUAUACACCCUACUAGCAUCUCUCUCUCUAAUGUAGAUUUUUAUCAAUUUGUUUAGUGUUUAAGUAUAAUAUGUCUUGAUCCAACCAACUAAAAUUCCAGUCACAUUACGCAUUUAGUUCCCCCGGUUAAGUGCCAGGGAACCUCUUGACCCGAAUUCCAUUUUAUAAUCACAGACCUGCUACUUUCAAAUUAUCGUCACCUGUUAUACAAUUCAAGGUAAUAAGCACAGGCUUGAGAAAUCCAUACAGGAAUGUAGCUUGUAAGACCAAUUCCUCAUGUGAGGGAAGUUGGCCUUGCAUAUAAGUUUGAGAACCUGCUGAUUUGAGUUUUUGAUGAUGCCAUAUCAGAUUAGCAAGUUGGAAACCGAGGCUCAAUUUCCAACAUGAUUGUUGUUUACUCAUUUUGGAUUAUCUAGCCAAGGCGUUAGACUUUCUUCAAAUUGUUUUGCUUUUUCAUACGCUGCUGUCGAUAAAUUAAAUAGCUGGGUCCAGCAGCGACUAAUGUCUUCUUUCUCCGGCCGACGACCUAGAAGGAUGUAGCUAAACCAAAUAAAGGCAACGAUGGAAGAGCAGUAGAAGACAACAAUAUUGAGCGCUGCAGAGAAGAGAGGAAGAAGGCCUAUGAAAUUGAGCGCUCAAAUAUUGCUCCACGAACUCGAAACGAUUUGGUCACGCUCAGCGAAGGUGCACCAUAGCUUGGUGGUGAUGAAGAACUCAUCACGUGAUUUGACGAGGCCGAGACUCAGAGCUUCGGCUAUGGCUUCCCCAAGAGGCUGCUCGGAGCCGUAGGCAAAGGCGGUGUCGAAGUGGUGGUAGCCUGCUUUGAUGGCUUCAAGGACUGCUGCUUUUGUGGUCUCUGAAUCAACCCUUGGGUCUGCCACGGUUCCCAGGCCGAUGGCCGGUAUUGUCUUGCCGGAGCAGCCCAAAGGUACCUCAGGUACGACGCCCAUUUUCUUGCUCAACACUUUGAGUUGUAAUUUCUCUGUGAAAAAGUCCUCGAUGUACGCAAAUUUAACGGUAAGUGUGUAUAUAUUUGUACUAGUAUAAAGUGGCAGAAAAUCAUGUGCAUUGACUGGCUUCUCGUUUGGAUCAUGAGAGCUGUGAUGUUGGUCAAUUUGGGUGGCCUUAUUUUUUUCAUCGGAUUCGUGCGAAUUUUCUUGUUCAAAAGAGGGACAGGACCAACUUUUGUCGGUCACUUGUGGUGGCCUUAUUUUGUUACAUUCAAA